This 387-nucleotide ribosomal RNA is filed under the name uncultured bacterium. RNAcentral describes it as "partial 16S ribosomal RNA". It matches the Rfam family "Bacterial small subunit ribosomal RNA", at positions 355 to 755 of the family's 1533-position model. The record is from RNAcentral.
UGGGGAAUAUUGGACAAUGGGCGCAAGCCUGAUCCAGCCAUGCCGCGUGAGUGAUGAAGGCCUUAGGGUUGUAAAGCUCGUUUCGCCGACGAAGAUAAUGACGGUAGUCGGAGAAGAAGCCCCGGCUAACUUCGUCGCCAGCAGCCGNGGUAAUACGAAGGGGGCAGUANCGUUGUUCGGAAUCACUGGGCGUAAAGCGCACGUAGGCGGAUUGUUAAGUCAGGGGUGAAAGCCUGGAGCUCAACUCCAGAACUGCCCUUGAUACUGGCAAUCUCGAGUCCGGAAGAGGUAAGUGGAACUGCGAGUGUAGAGGUGAAAUUCGUAGAUAUUCGCAAGAACACCAGUGGCGAAGGCGGCUUACUGGUCCGGUACUGACGCUGAGGUGCG